RNAcentral lists this ribosomal RNA (433 nucleotides) under uncultured bacterium. RNAcentral describes it as "partial 16S ribosomal RNA". It matches the Rfam family "Bacterial small subunit ribosomal RNA", at positions 29 to 507 of the family's 1533-position model. The record is from RNAcentral.
AACGAACGCUGGCGGCAGGCCUAACACAUGCAAGUCGAACGAGACCUUCGGGUCUGGUGGCGCACGGGUGCGUAACGCGGGGGAACCUGCCCUUAGGUUCGGAAUAACUCCCCGGAAGGGGUGCUAAUACCGGAUAAUGUCUUCGGACCAAAGAUUUAUCGCCUUUGGAUGGGCCCGCGUUGGCUUAGCUAGUUGGUAGGGUAAAAGCCUACCAAGGCGACGAUCGAUAGCUGGUCUGAGAGGAUGAGCAGCCACACUGGGACUGAGACACGGCCCAGAAUCCUACGGGAGGCAGCAGUGGGGAAUAUUGGACAAUGGGGGAAAGCCUGAUCCAGCAAUGCCGCGUGAGUGAUGAAGGCCGUAGGGUUGUAAAGCUCUUUUACCCGGGAUGAUAAUGACAGUACCGGGAGAAUAAGCUCCGGCUAACUCCGUG